This 69-nucleotide transfer RNA is filed under the name Marmota monax (woodchuck). It matches the Rfam family "tRNA". Rfam says of the family: Transfer RNA (tRNA) molecules are approximately 80 nucleotides in length. Their secondary structure includes four short double-helical elements and three loops (D, anti-codon, and T loops). RNAcentral also lists the same sequence under 2 other names. Lineage: Eukaryota; Metazoa; Chordata; Mammalia; Rodentia; Sciuridae. The record is from Rfam by way of RNAcentral.
GGAGUUGUAGCUCAAUGGUAGAGUGUUUGCCUAGCACACAUGAGGCACUGAGUUUGAACCUCAGCACCA